Long non-coding RNA from Centrocercus urophasianus (Greater sage-grouse), 2215 nucleotides. RefSeq lists it as uncharacterized. The record is from RefSeq and is a predicted model, not a curated record. The transcript has 2 exons. Lineage: Eukaryota; Metazoa; Chordata; Aves; Galliformes; Phasianidae.
GGGGUGCGAGCGAUCUUUCGCCGUGCUCGCGCCGCUUCGCUCCUAGCGGCUUGUGCCGUCUCUUUCAGCGAGACGUGGCGACGUGACGAGCCCUCUGCCGACCGUUCGACGUGACGCUGAUCCAUCCUUUACAUUCUGAAGGGCCGUGCUUAGGGUCUCCCUGGAACCUUCUCUUCAAAAGAAGCGUGGCCAGCAGGGCGAGGAAGGUGAUCCUGUCCCUCUACUCUGCUGAGACCUCACGUGGAGUACUGUGUCCUGAUGUGGAGUUCUCAGUACGGGAGACGGGGAUCUGUUAGAUUACAUCUGGAGGAGGGCCACAAAAGUGAUCCCGAGGAUGGAAUGCCGCCCUCUCUGAGGACAGCUGGGAGAGCUGGAGCUGUUCAGCUUGGAGAAGAGAAGGCUGCAGAGACCUGAGAGCAGCCUUUCAGUAUCUGAAGGGGGGCUGCAAGAAAGAAAGGGACAAAGUCUUUAGAAGGGACUGUUGUGGUAAGAAAAUAUUAGGCAGUCCUAAAUGCUGACAGUAGGAAAUCGUGCAGCCUGCAUCUCAGUUUUUGAUACUAUAUUUAAAUCAAUCUCUUCAAUCUGAUUAGGAAGAUAACUCCCUCUAACGUUAUCAUACUUCCAUGCCACUAGACCUUCUGCAUUUAAGUACAAGAGAACACACAAGUACCAUAAUAGGUUUCUAGAAAAGUCCACUGAAAGCGGUGAUUGUGGAGAAAUUAGCAACCAGCAUCCAGCAGCUGAUGUCACCCAGCUAUGUAUAGAUUUACCGCCUCACGCUAGCACUGACUGCACAGUGUAUGUAUAGCUGUAUGCCAUGUGCCUGUCUUGAGACUUACCAUUACAUUCUCAGGUUCGAAAAUGUGUGAAAAAACAAGGACAAAAAACGUAGUAGGGCUACCAUCACAUCAGCAGUUUGUUUAUUGUUACAGCAAGAGAAACAUCAAGGCUUAUGUUUGCUGUACAAGGAAUGCAAGAUGAAAGUAAGUCAUCAUUGUGAGUAAUGGCAUUUCGAAGUCUGUGACUUUUGAUCCCUGGCACCUGACGUGCUGUGGCAGUUGACAUACAUACCAUCACCAGGAGCAUCGCAAGCAUUUGAUUAUCAGCUCUAUUAGUGCUCAAAACAUUUAUCAAAGCUUAUAUACUUCAUUCAAGCAUUAUAAUAUAUAAUUUCACUGAUAAGAUUCCCCUCCAUCAGAACAAUCACAAGUUUGGAACCUGCAAGGAGAAGAGGAACAAAACACGAGCAAUGAUUACUGUGUUAUAUUUUUUCACAUGAAAGAAGAGCUCCUGGCGUUGGUAGAAAUGUGGAAUGAGCUCAAUAUGUACUUCCAGGAACAUGACCAUCACUGUUUUGUAGGCAGACAACAACCAAACUGAGUGUUGGACACACAAACAUUGAUAAUCCUGUCUCAUCUUUCUACAUCAUUCUGCUUGUGAAACACCACACUGAAAGCAAUGGUCAGCAGAACUUACAUGCAGAAGGGAUGCACUGAUAUGGAACUUCAUCUGAUAGCUCACGCUGCUGCAAAAGGAAAAACAACUGAUGAAGAGUUCACGACUGCUCUGCAGUCGGUUUGAAAAUAACAAGCUAUCGAGCAACAGAAGAUGGGUGAAGGCUUUAGAACUUCAAAAGCAAAAGGGCUUAUCGCUGUGUAUACAUGGCUGCGGACUUGCACAAUCAGUUAAACAGUAAAUCAGUUAAAUAGCUGUAUUUAAACACUGUCUUCAUGUCUUGGAGUCCUGUUGUUCCUCUGUGCUGCUGUACUCUCCCAGCAACAUUUCUGUGUUCACGCAGCAGUGCUGGUCUCUCUCUGCUCCUGAAGGAACAGGACACACGCUUUGCUCCGUGUCCCUUCAUUACUUCUAAUGCUUUCUGUCACUGACAGUUGCUGUUUUGGAGCACAGUGAAACAUAAUUAUCUCUUCCUCGGCAAUUUCACACCAACAGAAAACCAACAACAACAAAUAACUCCUCCAUUUCAUAAAAGGUUUUGGAUCAGAGUGGUUUGGAAGUUCCAUAGCAGCUUUCUUUUCAUCGUGCUCUCUAUGUACUCUAUUAACAAUUACACAGUAGUGUAAGAAGAAUUACUGAAACACAAUCAAAUUUCUUUAAAGAGAAAUGUGACUGUUUUGCACAAUACACUGUCAUAACGGCUGCAUUUCAGGCUGAAAUUUCCUAGAGACUUCCCAUAGAAGGAAUUAAAUUAGUUUUG